CGCCCUUAGAGUUUGAUCAUGGCUCAGGACGAACGCUGGCGGCGUGCCUAAUACAUGCAAGUCGAACGCAGCUUGCUUUGGUAAGAUGAGUGGCGAACGGGUGAGUAACACGUGGGUAACCUGCCUAUCAGAGGGGGAUAACACUUGGAAACAGGUGCUAAUACCGCAUAGAUUUCUUUCGCAUGAAAAGAGAGGAAAGACGUACGUGUCACUGAUAGAUGGACCCGCGGUGCAUUAGCUAGUUGGUGAGGUAACGGCUCACCAAGGCCAUGAUGCAUAGCCGACCUGAGAGGGUGAUCGGCCACACUGGGACUGAGACACGGCCCAGACUCCUACGGGAGGCAGCAGUAGGGAAUCUUCGGCAAUGGACGAAAGUCUGACCGAGCAACGCCGCGUGAGUGAAGAAGGUUUUCGGAUCGUAAAACUCUGUUGUUAGAGAAGAAUAGGUAGGAGUGACUUCCUGCCAUGACGGUAUCUAACCAGAAAGCCACGGCUAACUACGUGCCAGCAGCCGCGGUAAUACGUAGGUGGCAA
RNAcentral lists this ribosomal RNA (534 nucleotides) under uncultured Vagococcus sp. Its description in RNAcentral is "bacterial SSU rRNA". It matches the Rfam family "Bacterial small subunit ribosomal RNA", at positions 1 to 537 of the family's 1533-position model. The record is from RNAcentral. Lineage: Bacteria; Bacillati; Bacillota; Bacilli; Lactobacillales; Enterococcaceae.